AUUGAACGCUGGCGGCAUGCCUUACACAUGCAAGUCGAACGGCAGUACGGGUGCUUGCACCUGGUGGCGAGUGGCGAACGGGUGAGUAAUACAUCGGAACAUGUCCUGUAGUGGGGGAUAGCCCGGCGAAAGCCGGAUUAAUACCGCAUACGAUCUACGGAUGAAAGCGGGGGACCUUCGGGCCUCGCGCUAUAGGGUUGGCCGAUGGCUGAUUAGCUAGUUGGUGGGGUAAAGGCCUACCAAGGCGACGAUCAGUAGCUGGUCUGAGAGGACGACCAGCCACACUGGGACUGAGACACGGCCCAGACUCCUACGGGAGGCAGCAGUGGGGAAUUUUGGACAAUGGGCGAAAGCCUGAUCCAGCAAUGCCGCGUGUGUGAAGAAGGCCUUCGGGUUGUAAAGCACUUUUGUCCGGAAAGAAAUCCUUGGCCCUAAUACGGUCGGGGGAUGACGGUACCGGAAGAAUAAGCACCGGCUAACUACGUG
RNAcentral lists this ribosomal RNA (486 nucleotides) under uncultured bacterium. RNAcentral's name for it is "partial 16S ribosomal RNA". It matches the Rfam family "Bacterial small subunit ribosomal RNA", at positions 30 to 507 of the family's 1533-position model. The record is from RNAcentral.